Molecule: long non-coding RNA, 1162 nt
Filed under: Gossypium barbadense (sea-island cotton)
Lineage: Eukaryota; Viridiplantae; Streptophyta; Magnoliopsida; Malvales; Malvaceae
Description: long non-coding RNA (GBAR_LNC022908)
Source: RNAcentral
UUGAAGAAAACAGCACCAGAAGCUGGUGGAGCAUGGCCUAUUAUUGGCCAUCUCCGCCUCUUAGGAGGGUCACAACCACCUCAUAUAAGCUUGGGUAACCUGGCAGACAAAUAUGGAGGAAUCUUCACCAUCAGGUUGGGUGUAAAUAGAGCUUUGGUGGUGAGCAAUUGGGAGAUAGCUAAAGAAUGUCUCACCAUAAACGAUAAAGCGUUUGCCAGUCGCCCAAAGCUUGCAAGCUCGGAAAUUUUGGGUUACAACUGUGCCAUGAUAGCCUUGGCACCGUAUGGACCUUAUUGGCGUCAAGUGCGCAAAUUCGCCACAAUUGAGCUCCUCUCAAAUCACCGACUCGAAUUGCUUAAACUUGUGCGGGAAUCCGAGGUGAAGGCAUCACUGCAACAAUUAUACCAGCUGUGGAACAAGAAGAAAAGUAGUAACUGUGGCAAAGUAAUGGUGGAGAUGAAGAGAUGGUUCAGAGAUGUUACUCUUAACGUGGUACUAAGGAUUGUUGUAGGGAAGCGAAUACCGAAUUCAUACGAAGGAGAUGAAACCGUGAAAUGGAAGAAGUCGUUGGACGACUUGUUUGAACUAAGUGGGAAGUUCUUAAUAUCAGAUGCGUUGCCUUAUCUGAGAUGGUUGGACAUAGGUGGAGAUGAGAAGUCUAUGAAGAAGGUAGCCAAAGAAUUGGACCAAGUUGUGGAGGAAUGGCUACGAGAGCACAAAGAAAAGAGAGCUGAAAAUGAGGCAAACAGUGGGGAAGAUUUCAUGGGAGUGAUGCUAUCUAUUCUUCGUGAUGCAGAGGAGCACGAUGCCGAUACCAUCAACAAAGCCGUCAGUCUCGUACGUGCAUUUCUUAAUCAAAUCCUAUAUUUGUUUGAUAUUUAUAUUCAUCAUUCACCUGAAUACCAAUUUCAAUCUGAUAUUAAUAGUUUUACUGUAAAUGAUUUAAUAGGGACUUACCUUAGCCGUGGAAGAUACCACAUCAAUUACAAUGACAUGGGCUUUAUCUUUAUUACUCAAUAAUCGCGAUGCAUUGAACAAGGUCAAACAAGAACUAGACAUUCAUGUUGGUAAAGAUAGACUCUUAGUUACAGAAUCAGAUACUAAAAACUUAGUGUACCUCCAAUCUGUCAUUAAAGAAACACUACGCCUCUAUCCUGCUGCU